This 85-nucleotide transfer RNA is filed under the name Schizophyllum commune Loenen D. RNAcentral's name for it is "tRNA-Pro". It matches the Rfam family "tRNA". From Rfam's summary of the family: Transfer RNA (tRNA) molecules are approximately 80 nucleotides in length. Their secondary structure includes four short double-helical elements and three loops (D, anti-codon, and T loops). The record is from RNAcentral. Lineage: Eukaryota; Fungi; Basidiomycota; Agaricomycetes; Agaricales; Schizophyllaceae.
GGCCUGAUGGUCUAGUAGUAUGAUUCCUUGUUAGGGCGAAAGCGUCGUUUCGAGGAGGUCCCGGGUUCAAUUCCCGGUCAGGCCC